RNAcentral lists this transfer RNA (90 nucleotides) under Colletotrichum sublineola. It matches the Rfam family "tRNA". Rfam says of the family: Transfer RNA (tRNA) molecules are approximately 80 nucleotides in length. The record is from Rfam by way of RNAcentral. Lineage: Eukaryota; Fungi; Ascomycota; Sordariomycetes; Glomerellales; Glomerellaceae.
GCGGACAUAGCUCAGUUGGGAGAGCGUCAGACUGAAGUUAACUUCGAUCACUUAAUCUGAAGGUCGUGUGUUCAAUCCACACUGGCCGCA